Molecule: transfer RNA, 86 nt
Filed under: Candidatus Saccharimonadota bacterium
Lineage: Bacteria; Candidatus Saccharimonadota
Description: Candidatus Saccharibacteria bacterium tRNA-Tyr
Rfam family: tRNA
About the family: Transfer RNA (tRNA) molecules are approximately 80 nucleotides in length. Their secondary structure includes four short double-helical elements and three loops (D, anti-codon, and T loops).
Source: RNAcentral
GCAGAGGUAGUGAAGCGGUCAAACACGGCAGACUGUAAAUCUGUUGGCUUUCGCCUUCGGGGGUUCGAAUCCCUCCCUCUGCACCA